CGCUCUCUCUGAGGAAGUUUCGCUGGAGAGCGCACUGGACUGUAUCUGCUCGGACUGGAUGCAUCCCAGUAACGAUAUCUACCGCCUGCGAGACCUCAAGCUCGUGCGCUGGUGAUUGAUUUGAGUCCACAGGAGAGCAACGAUGAUACCCGCUGAUUCGCAUUCAAGUUAAAGCCGUUGUGUUUUGAGCAUUUUUGGAUUAACACCGUUUCUAAAGUGAAUAUGGGUCCUGUUUGGAUCCUCCUAACCGUUUUAAUUGGAUACAGCGCCAGCUUGCCAGGAGCGAAAGGAGCAUGUGUCCAUCAAGGCUCAUUGUUUGCGAACAAUACAUCAUGGAAACCAGACACCUGUCAAGACUGCAUCUGCUACAAUGAUAUUGUCAUCUGCAAACCCACUCGCUGCCAAAAUCCCCAGUGUGACUUUCAGAGGG
This is a long non-coding RNA of Puntigrus tetrazona (Sumatra barb), 430 nucleotides long. RefSeq lists it as uncharacterized. NCBI's taxonomy places the organism in Eukaryota, Metazoa, Chordata, Actinopteri, Cypriniformes, Cyprinidae. The record is from RefSeq and is a predicted model, not a curated record. The transcript has 3 exons.